RNAcentral lists this ribosomal RNA (402 nucleotides) under uncultured bacterium. Its description in RNAcentral is "bacterial SSU rRNA". It matches the Rfam family "Bacterial small subunit ribosomal RNA", at positions 355 to 774 of the family's 1533-position model. The record is from RNAcentral.
UGGGGAAUAUUGGACAAUGGGGGCAACCCUGAUCCAGCCAUGCCGCGUGAGUGAUGAAGGCCUUCGGGUUGUAAAGCUCUUUUGGCGGGGACGAUAAUGACGGUACCUGGAGAAGCAGCUGCGGCUUACUACGUGCCAGCAGCCGCGGUAAUACGUAGGCAGCAAGCGUUGUUCGGAAUUACUGGGCGUAAAGGGUGCGUAGGCGGCGCUCUAAGUUUGGUGUGAAAUCUCCCGGCUUAACUGGGAGGGUGCACUGAAAACUGGGGCGCUCGAGUAUGGGAGAGGAAAGCGGAAUUCCUGGUGUAGCGGUGAAAUGCGUAGAGAUCAGGAGGAACACCUGCGGUGCAGACGGCUUUCUGGACCAUCACUGACGCUGAGGCACGAAAGCGUGGGUAGCAAACA